AUUGAACGCUGGCGGCAUGCCUUACACAUGCAAGUCGAACGGCAGCACGGGAGCAAUCCUGGUGGCGAGUGGCGAACGGGUGAGUAAUAUAUCGGAACGUGCCCAGUCGUGGGGAUAACGUAGCGAAAGCUACGCUAAUACCGCAUACGAUCUAUGGAUGAAAGCGGGGGAUCGCAAGACCUCGCGCGAUUGGAGCGGCCGAUAUCAGAUUAGGUAGUUGGUGAGGUAAAGGCUCACCAAGCCAACGAUCUGUAGCUGGUCUGAGAGGACGACCAGCCACACUGGAACUGAGACACGGUCCAGGACUCCUACGGGAGGCAGCAGUGGGAAUUUUGGACAAUGGACGCAAGUCUGAUCCAGCCAUUCCGCGUGCAGGAUGAAGGCCCGUCGGGUUGUAAACUGCUUUGUACGGAACGAAAGGUUUGU
RNAcentral lists this ribosomal RNA (426 nucleotides) under uncultured bacterium. Its description in RNAcentral is "bacterial SSU rRNA". It matches the Rfam family "Bacterial small subunit ribosomal RNA", at positions 30 to 457 of the family's 1533-position model. The record is from RNAcentral.